GCGGCAUAGCCAAGUGGUAAGGCAGCGGCCUGCAAAGCCGUUAUUCGGCGGUUCGAAUCCGCCUGCCG
Molecule: transfer RNA, 68 nt
Filed under: marine eukaryotic metagenome
Rfam family: tRNA
About the family: Transfer RNA (tRNA) molecules are approximately 80 nucleotides in length. Their secondary structure includes four short double-helical elements and three loops (D, anti-codon, and T loops).
Source: RNAcentral